AGAAACUCCUAUUGAUUUUUAAAUCUUGUAAAGGAAUCUUUCAUUCUCAACACAAAUUCAAUAAAUAAAAUAGUAGGUAAUAACCAACUAUUGUUAAUUAUAUCACUGAGUAAGUCUAUCGAAUUCAUUAGAGAUUAUGGCGGGUGAUAUUCAACAUGACACAUUAAGGUCUCAGAUUAAUAAUGAUUCCUAUGUUUGUAAAAACCAACUAUUGUUACAUAACAUAUGUAUACAUGUAAUAGUAUGUUGUUUAAGGAUUUAUAUCUUAAAGCAAGUUUUAUUAUAUUUCUAAAUUUCCUAAUGCAUCGAGUACUAAAGUGGACAUCUUAAAAUUUAUUCGCGACAUAUAUUUGAAUGUGUUACAUUUAUGAUAUUUUAAAUGACAAAUAUGGCGUGGUUGUUAAAUAUUUGAAAAAUGAAACCAAACACUUAACAAGUGAAGUGUAAAAACGUAUCCUCCUGUAACAUUUGAAAUUUUUUCUUGUAUGCAUGAAUCUCGAAUUUAGACUAACGACAAUUUUUAUUUCUAAUAUAAAUAAUCUCAAUUAUAAUUUCUAUUUUGAAGAUUGAUGUUUAUGAUAUAAAUGCGGCAAAUUAGAAAUAUGUCAUAUAAAAUGGCGACGACGACUAUAUUUAUUAAUUUUGUUUAUAAGAUUGGAACUUUGUCCGUUAAAGUUCGAAGCUAAAGUCUACCAUUUAAAACCAUAUAUAUGAUGUUUUUACCCUAAAAGAUAAUAUUUGACAUUUUUUUUAUUAACUUGGUUCUCCAUAUAUUACUCAGAUGACAAUAAGAAAUACACAAAUCUAUGUCUCUAAUUAUAUUUUAUCAUCAACACACCUAUACGAACAUAAAGAUGUUUGUCAUGAAUGUCCAAAUGUUAUAUUAGUGUUAAUUUAGCAUGUUUGUUUAAAUUGCUGGUCUUCAUGUCACUCUAGUCCUUGGUUUUCUCAUGCCACCGCAUAAUCAACAGAUGUCCAUCUAGUUCUUUAAUAAUAAUAAAAGGUUUCAAAUAGAAGUAGAAACAUCUACAAAUAAAAAUAAAUUAUCAGCUCCAAAGAAAAAACAACUAAUGACUUGUUCCAAAUUAUGUUUUUAACCAUAAAAUUUAGUUAAUCAAGGAAACACGGUAGAGAGAGGUUAUGGAAGAAUAAUCUAUCUCAUAAUUCCUCGACCGUGAUAUCCUUGAUUAAAAAAAUUCCAUGGACAAAUUAAAAUCACCACUUCAUUGUGUAGUUGAAACAAGAUCUACAAAAAGAAUGUUAUUUAUCUUCUCUCUGCCAAAUUAGCAUUUUAUAGAUCCAUAAAGUUUAAGAAAGUAUCUUUUUUUUGAUAAUAAAUGAAUUUCAUAAAAUUAAAAUGAUAUUAUAAUUUAAAAAGGCACAAUCGUAUUCUUUUAAAUAUGUAAAUGUAGUAAAAAUAUAGUCAAGUAAAAAUAAUCAUGUUUUUAUUAAAAUCAUUUAAAAUUUUGAGAUUUUAAAAAAAAUGUUUUUAUAGAUACUUUAAUAUUUUUUCCAGAUUAAGUUAAAGAUUGACCAAGAAGUAAAGAAAUGGAGGUUUUGGUAAAGUAGAAAAUAAAAGGAGAUUUGGUUUUUCUUUUUAACAUAAAUACUAUUUUUAUUUUAUGAGAAACUCCUAUUGAUUUUUAAAUCUUGUAAAGGAAUCUUUCAUUCUCAACACAAAUUCAAUAAUAAAAUAGUAGGUAAUAACCAACUAUUGUUAAUUAUAUCACUGAGUAAGUCAUAUCGAAUUCAUUAGAGAUUAUGGCGGGUGAUAUUCAACAUGACACAUUAAGGUCUCAGAUUAAUAAUGAUUCCUAUGUUUGUAAAAACCAACUAUUGUUACAUAACAUAUGUAUACAUGUAAUAGUAUGUUGUUUAAGGAUUUAUAUCUUAAAGCAAGUUUUAUUAUAUUUCUAAAUUUCCUAAUGCAUCGAGUACUAAAGUGGACAUCUUAAAAUUUAUUCGCGACAUAUAUUUGAAUGUGUUACAUUUAUGAUAUUUUAAAUGACAAAUAUGGCGUG
RNAcentral lists this long non-coding RNA (2021 nucleotides) under Lathyrus oleraceus (garden pea). RNAcentral describes it as "Pisum sativum (pea) long non-coding RNA (PSAT_LNC012434)". The record is from RNAcentral. Lineage: Eukaryota; Viridiplantae; Streptophyta; Magnoliopsida; Fabales; Fabaceae.